GUCCUGUGUUGUCAUUUUGAUGUUAUAUUUCACAUGGCCAUAAAAGUGCGAGGUUUGGCAUGCCACAAAACCAGGUUCAACCCACCAUUUUUUCCUUUAAAAAUGCCCUGUACCAAGUCAGGAAUAUGGCCAUUGUUAUAUUAUAGUUCGUUUCUGUGUGUAUUACAUUAUAACGUUGUGUCGUUUGUUUUCUCUUAUUUUUGAGUGUAAAUUCACAUUGCUAUAAGACGUGUCACGGUACUUGUCUAUCCCAAAUUCAUGUAUUUGGUUUUGAUGUUAUAUAUAUAUAUGUUAUAUUUGUUGUUCUCGUGGGUGGGAUUUUGUCUAUGUGUGUUACAUUUUAGUGUUAUGUCGUUGUUCUCCUCUUAUAUUUAAUGCGUUUCCCUCGGUUUUAGUUUGUUACCCCGAUUUUGUUUUUUG
RNAcentral lists this long non-coding RNA (420 nucleotides) under Mytilus galloprovincialis (Mediterranean mussel). Lineage: Eukaryota; Metazoa; Mollusca; Bivalvia; Mytilida; Mytilidae. The record is from RNAcentral.